CUUCGGAUCUCCCGGGGGAAUUUUGGGGCUCCGUCUCCUCCGGUGGGUGGAUUUGGAUCUCGGGAUCACGCAAAGGGCCGUGGGGGGCUCAGCUUGGGGCUCGGGAGGGAAAUUCCCUUCUCUGAGCAGCACAAAGGGCUCCGUGGAGCUGCAGGCUGGGCCAACCUCUCCUGGGGCCUUCCAGCCCACUCCUGGUUUAUCUGGGAUUCCUGGAUCCAGCACAGUCCUGGUUUAUCUGGGAUUCCUGGAUCCAGCCCACUCCUGGUUUAUUUGGGAUUCCUGAGUCCAUCCCAGUCCUGGUUCAUUAUUUGUGAUUCCUGGGUUCAUCCCAUUCCUGGUUUAUUAUUUGGGGUUCCUGGGUACAUCCCAGUCCUGGUGUGUUUUUUGGGAUUACUGAGUCCAUCCCAGUCCUGGUUUAUUUUUUGGGGUUCCUGGCUCCAUCCCAGUCCUGGUUUAUUUGGGAUACCUGGAUCCAUCCCAUUCCUGGUUUAUUAUUUGGGAUUCCUGGCUCCAUCCCAGUCCUGGUUUAUUAUUUGGGAUUCCUGGAUCCAUCCCAGUCCUGGUUUAUUUUUUGGGGUUCCUGGCUCCAUCCCAGUCCUGGUUUAUUUGGGAUACCUGGAUCCAUCCCAUUCCUGGUUUAUUUUUGGGGUUCCUGGCUCCAUCCCCCACUGCCCCUGGGCAUUUUCCUGCUCUCCCAGCUCCAGGCAGGGAAUGAAUUCUCCCUGCAAUGAAAUCCCUGCAGUAUCCAGCCCUUGGGAAUGUUUGGGAUCUGCAAAGCCCAGGAUCCUGUCCCGGGAGAGGAGCAGGUCAGGGCAGAGGUGAAAACGUGAAAACACCCAAAAAUUCCCUUUAAUUUGGGGCAGGAUCAAACCCCUCCUCCCAAACCUGCUGGGAACAGAGGUGAAAAUGUGAAAAUACUCAAAAACUCCAUUUAAUUUGGGGCAGGAUGAAAUCCUUCCUCCCAAACCUGCUGAGAACGGAGGUGAAAAUGUGAAAACACUCAAAAUUUCCCCUUUAAUUUGGGGCAGGAUCAAA
This 1035-nucleotide long non-coding RNA is filed under the name Lonchura striata (white-rumped munia). Its description in RNAcentral is "domestica (Bengalese finch) lncRNA (ENSLSDG00000012823.1)". Lineage: Eukaryota; Metazoa; Chordata; Aves; Passeriformes; Estrildidae. The record is from RNAcentral.